UAAAACGCUAGGAAUGAGAGAGUAUGUAAAUAAACUUUAACAGAGAGCUUUUGGCUGGUGGAAAAAAAGCAAAGAAUAUUUACGGAAGAUGGCUCAGGAGCGGUGCGCCAAACCGUUAAGAACGCUUAGGCCGCAACAGGUCUGCCUGUUAUAGCAUGAAAGUAUAACUAUCUGAAAGGGUAACGUACUUAAUAAGUUCCUCUGCCGUGAGGUAGGGAUAAAUUGAAGUGGUAACACGGGUAACACUCGUCUUCUGU
RNAcentral lists this non-coding RNA (257 nucleotides) under Anaerocolumna jejuensis. RNAcentral describes it as "T-box sequence". It matches the Rfam family "T-box leader". From Rfam's summary of the family: Uncharged tRNA acts as the effector for transcription antitermination of genes in the T-box leader family. T-boxes are found upstream of many aminoacyl-tRNA synthetase genes and some amino acid biosynthetic genes usually in Gram-positive bacteria. The record is from RNAcentral. Lineage: Bacteria; Bacillati; Bacillota; Clostridia; Lachnospirales; Lachnospiraceae.